UACGUAGGGUGCGAGCGUUACUCGGAAUUACUGGGCGUAAAGCGUGCGCAGGCGGCGCGUUAAGACAGGUGUGAAAGCCCCGAGCUUAACUUGGGAAUUGCGCUUGUGACUGGCGAGCUGGAGUGCGAGAGAGGGGCGUGGAAUUCCGGGUGUAGUGGUGAAAUGCGUAGAGAUCCGGAGGAACCCCAGAGGCGAAGGCGGCGCCCUGGCGCGCAACUGACGCUCAGACACGACAGCAUGGGGAGCGAACGGG
RNAcentral lists this ribosomal RNA (253 nucleotides) under uncultured bacterium. RNAcentral describes it as "partial 16S ribosomal RNA". It matches the Rfam family "Bacterial small subunit ribosomal RNA", at positions 524 to 776 of the family's 1533-position model. The record is from RNAcentral.